This is a long non-coding RNA of Bombina bombina (fire-bellied toad), 565 nucleotides long. RefSeq lists it as uncharacterized. The transcript has 2 exons. The record is from RefSeq and is a predicted model, not a curated record. Lineage: Eukaryota; Metazoa; Chordata; Amphibia; Anura; Bombinatoridae.
GGCACAGGAAGGGCGUGCGUCACGCCUGGCAGGGAUUCGUCCUACGCAGAAUGAAAGUGAUUGGAUGUUAGUGAAAUAUUCCCCAUCCCGUCCUCUUCGAUAAACAUCUGACCUACGUCUCUACACUCCUGUUAUCUCUGGUCCCACUCCCGCCUCCAAGACUUCACACGUGCUGCUCCUGUCCUUUGGAACUCUCUACCCCGCUCCAUUAGACUGUCUCCAACCUUGUAUAGCUUCAGACGAUCCUUGAAAACCCACCUAUUCAGAGAGGCUUACCAUCUCUCCUCCAUCCCGCAUCCGAACCAAACUAAUACAUGAACUGCCUGACUCACUGCUGCAAAUACAACUAAUGUAACAAGCUACCCCAACCUUAUGUCUCUGCACCCUAAACCUAUAGACUGUGAGCUCUCCGGAGCAGGGCCCUCUUCCUCCUGUGCUAGAUUUGUUUCGUUUUGUUAUGUUUUAUAUUUUAUCACAAAUCUUUGUCAUUGUAUACCCCUAACUUUGUACCCAGCGCUACAGAUUUUGGCGGCGCUAUACAAAUAAAUGAUAAUAAUAAUAAUAA